UACGAAGGGGGCUAGCGUUGCUCGGAAUCACUGGGCGUAAAGCGCACGUAGGCGGGUUGUUAAGUCGGGGGUGAAAUCCUGGAGCUCAACUCCAGGACUGCCUUUGAUACUGGGAAUCUCGAGUCCGGGAGAGGUGAGUGGAACUGCGAGUGUAGAGGUGAAAUUCGUAGAUAUUCGCAAGAACACCAGUGGCGAAGGCGGCUCACUGGCCCGGUACUGACGCUGAGGUGCGAAAGCGUGGGGAGCAAACAGG
Molecule: ribosomal RNA, 253 nt
Filed under: uncultured bacterium
Lineage: Bacteria
Description: partial 16S ribosomal RNA
Rfam family: Bacterial small subunit ribosomal RNA
Source: RNAcentral